AGUGAACGCUGGCGGUAGGCCUAACACAUGCAAGUCGAACGGCAGCACAGGAGAGCUUGCUCUCUGGGUGGCGAGUGGCGAACGGGUGAGGAAUACAUCGGAAUCUACUUUUUCGUGGGUGAUAACGUAGGGAAACUUACGCUAAUACCGCAUACGACCUACGGGUGAAAGCAGGGGACCUUCGGGCCUUGCGCGAUUGAAUGAGCCGAUGUCGGAUUAGCUAGUUGGCGGGGUAAAGGCCCACCAAGGCGACGAUCCGUAGCUGGUCUGAGCGGAUGAUCAGCCAGACUGGAACUGAGACACGGUCCAGACUCCUACGGGAGGCAGCAGUGGGGAAUAUUGGACAAUGGGCGCAAGCCUGAUCCAGCCAUACCGCGUGGGUGAAGAAGGCCUUCGGGUUGUAAAGCCCUUUUGUUGGGAAAGAAAUCCAGCUGGCUAAUACCCGGUUGGGAUGACGGUACCCAAAGAAUAAGCACCGGCUAACUUCGUGCCAGCAGCCGCGGUAA
RNAcentral lists this ribosomal RNA (506 nucleotides) under uncultured bacterium. RNAcentral's name for it is "partial 16S ribosomal RNA". It matches the Rfam family "Bacterial small subunit ribosomal RNA", at positions 29 to 523 of the family's 1533-position model. The record is from RNAcentral.